GUGGUUAGAGCUGCUGCCUUUAUACCUGAAAGUCACAGGUUCGAAUUCCAUUAAGCAAGGCACUUAUCCAAAGCAGCCAAGCUCUAUAACUGGGUAAAUAAUUGUACUUCGUUGUGGAGAAAAUCCUCGGCUAAACAUACAAUGCGCAGGCGUCACUUCCUCCUUCCACCGCUAGGUGGCACUGUAUGCUCGUCUGGUCAUUUCCGCGCCACCACGUGAUCUCGUACCGCAGUCCGUCCGUCUGCGCUUCGUCUGCGCUUCGUCUGUUACAGGCCGUCAGUUGUUGAGAGACCGCAGCGGGGCAGUGUGAAAAGAACUGAAAGUGCUGUCCUCCUGACUGGGCAGCUUCGUCUUCACACGCACGCACGCACGCACGCACACACACAUCCAGUGUGUUUGUGCAGAUGAAACCUACGAUUUUGUGCAUGUGUUUCUGAUAAGUGUUCACUCUAAUAUCCACUAAGCACAACGAUAGUCAAAUGAAGGGUUACUGUAGGAUAUUUAUAGUGGAUGUAAAAAAAACCCCACUACAAAUCAGAAAGAAUGCAUUGUUGUAAUGUGAAUGGACGUACUGUGUGUACUUCCUGUGCAUGUGUGUGUGAUCACCAAAAAGCAGAAGUACAGGAUGGGAUUGCAGUCGCCGGGGUGGAGGGUUUGAGCUGCUGCUGCUGCUGCUGCUGCUGCUGCUGCUGCUGCUGCUGCUGCUGCUGCUGCUGCUGCUGCGGCUGUUUGCACUGAGGAGGAAGAACUCGCAGUUCCACAUUGAUGCUCCACAAAGUCCUGCGAAUGCAUCAGAUGCGCACAGGCCCUCGCACUGCGUGUGCAGUGGCUCAUGAGCGCAAAUGCAGCGCUGCAGAUGCACCAGUACAGGAGUCUGUCGGAGCCUCAACGCACACUGCGAGGGAGCAGGGAGAGCAGCGAGGACUAUGCCUGGACAAGACGAUAAGGAUGAGGAUGGCGGCGGUGCGAAUGCUUCCAGGAAGGAAUGUUGGAGAAACGUCUAAUACACACAUUGUCAAAAAUUAAAAUGUUUGCUGGC
RNAcentral lists this long non-coding RNA (1039 nucleotides) under Scleropages formosus (Asian bonytongue). RNAcentral describes it as "lncRNA (ENSSFOG00015031646.1)". The record is from RNAcentral. Lineage: Eukaryota; Metazoa; Chordata; Actinopteri; Osteoglossiformes; Osteoglossidae.